Molecule: non-coding RNA, 45 nt
Filed under: Schistosoma margrebowiei
Lineage: Eukaryota; Metazoa; Platyhelminthes; Trematoda; Strigeidida; Schistosomatidae
Source: RNAcentral
AUCCAUCUGGCGAGUCCCACGUAAGACGAAACGCGCGUCGCGGAU